AUUGAACGCUGGCGGCAGGCCUAACACAUGCAAGUCGAGCGGAUGAAGGGAGCUUGCUCCUGGAUUCAGCGGCGGACGGGCGAGUAAUGCCUAGGAAUCUGCCUGGUAGUGGGGGAUAACGUCCGGAAACGGGCGCUAAUACCGCAUACGUCCCGAGGGCGAAAGGGGGGGAUCUUCGGACCUCACGCUAUCAGAUGAGCCUAGGUCGGAUUAGCUAGUUGGUGGGGUAAAGGCCUACCAAGGCGACGAUCCGUAACUGGUCUGAGAGGAUGAUCAGUCACACUGGAACUGAGGCACGGUCCAGACUCCUACGGGAGGCAGCAGUGGGGAAUAUUGGACAAUGGGCGAAAGCCUGAUCCAGCCAUGCCGCGUGUGUGAAGAAGGUCUUCGGAUUGUAAAGCACUUUAAGUUGGGAAGAAGGGCAGUAAGUUAAUACCUUGCUGUUUUGACGUUACCAACAGAAUAAGCACCGGCUAACUUCGUG
This 484-nucleotide ribosomal RNA is filed under the name uncultured bacterium. RNAcentral describes it as "partial 16S ribosomal RNA". It matches the Rfam family "Bacterial small subunit ribosomal RNA", at positions 30 to 507 of the family's 1533-position model. The record is from RNAcentral.